UGAGUAACACGUAUCCAACCUGCCGUCUACUCUUGGACAGCCUUCUGAAAGGAAGAUUAAUACAAGAUGGCAUCAUGAGUUCACAUGUUCACAUGAUUAAGGGUAUUCCGGUAGACGAUGGGGAUGCGUUCCAUUAGAUAGUAGGCGGGGUAACGGCCCACCUAGUCUUCGAUGGAUAGGGGUUCUGAGAGGAAGGUCCCCCACAUUGGUACUGAGACACGGACCAA
This 227-nucleotide ribosomal RNA is filed under the name uncultured bacterium. RNAcentral describes it as "partial 16S ribosomal RNA". It matches the Rfam family "Bacterial small subunit ribosomal RNA", at positions 107 to 334 of the family's 1533-position model. The record is from RNAcentral.